GAUGAACGCUGGCGGCGUGCCUAAUACAUGCAAGUCGAACGAAAAGACGAGGAGCUUGCUCCUCUGACGUUAGCGGAGGACGGGUGAGUAACACGUGGAUACCGUACCUAUAAGAGGGGGAUAACUUCGGGAAACCGGAGCUAAUACCGGAGAAUAUAUUGAACCGCGGGGUUCAAUAGUGAAAGACGGUUUUGGUGGCACUUAUAGAUGGAUCCGCGCCGCAUUAGCUAGUUGGUAAGGUAACGGCUUACCAAGGCAACGAUGCGUAGCCGACGGGAGAGGGUGAUCGGCUACACUGGAACUGAGCCACGGUCCAGACGCCUGCGGGAGGCAGCAGUAGGGAAUGUUCCGCAAUGGGCGAAAGCCUGACGGAGCAACGCCGCGUGUGUGAUGAAGGUCUUCGGAUCGUAAAACUCUGUUAUUAGGGAAGAACAAAUGUGUAAGUAACCAUGCCCGUCUUGACGGUACCUAGUCAGAAAGCCACGGCUAACUACGUG
Molecule: ribosomal RNA, 497 nt
Filed under: uncultured bacterium
Lineage: Bacteria
Description: partial 16S ribosomal RNA
Rfam family: Bacterial small subunit ribosomal RNA
Source: RNAcentral